CGUUCAGGGGUAAACCUGUGAAACUCGAAUGAACGAACGGGGAGAUUCAUCGUCAUUCGAAGGGCGGCGCUGGUGUCGUGCGAUGGAUUGCCCUCCGGCGGCUUCGGUCGUCCGGUGUGAGUUUUUCACGCGCGCGCCUUGCGCAGUCGGCCCUUCGAGGUCGUGCACUUCUCCCUUAGUAAUGCAUCGCGACCCGCUCGAUACCGAUCUAAGCCCCGUUCGGGUGCCCGCUGCGCAUUCACGUGCGCGACGGACCGUGACGGUGGCCGACCGGUUGUUGGGCGGUAUUAGACGCGAAACACGCACGCGCUCGUCGCGUCCGGCCCGACGCAAGGUCGUCGCGAAACCAGCGCUUCGCCUGAGUGCGAGCGUCCGGUUUCCGGCGCCUGCUUCUGGCAGCCGUGCCGUCUCGGACGUGCGUGUAUCCAGUCAUGCGAUGUUUUUGUUUCGGGCACUCACAGGACCCGUCUUGAAACACGGACCAAGGAGUCUAGCAUGUGUGCGAGUCACUAGGUUUUAAAACCGAAAGGCGCAACGAAAGUGAAGGUGAACGCUUGCCGUUCGCUCGGGGAGGAUGGCGGUUGGCUCUCAAGGUCGCCGCCCGCACUCCCGAGGCGUCCCGUUCGCAAUCUGUCGAUGYGGGCGCGCUCAGAGCACAGAUGCUGGGACCCGAAAGAUGGUGAACUAUGCCUGGUCAGGUCGAAGUCAGGGGAAACCCUGAUGGAGGACCGUAGCGAUUCUGACGUGCAAAUCGAUCGUCGGAACUGGGUAUAGGGGCGAAAGACUAAUCGAACCAUC
Molecule: ribosomal RNA, 798 nt
Filed under: Stigmella sp. Urenalobata
Lineage: Eukaryota; Metazoa; Arthropoda; Insecta; Lepidoptera; Nepticulidae
Description: eukaryotic LSU rRNA
Rfam family: Eukaryotic large subunit ribosomal RNA
Source: RNAcentral